This 609-nucleotide long non-coding RNA is filed under the name Theobroma cacao (cacao). RNAcentral describes it as "long non-coding RNA (TCAC_LNC002980)". Lineage: Eukaryota; Viridiplantae; Streptophyta; Magnoliopsida; Malvales; Malvaceae. The record is from RNAcentral.
UGGGUUCAAUUAUGAUCGGACUGAAUUGGCAUUCGACCUAACUCGCACUAUGCCUUGUUUAAUUAGCCAAAACAUCCAAUUCAACUCCAAAUAUCUUCAUUACACUUCCAAUAUUCUAAAUACACCAAAGUACCUCAAUGAGCUUAAUUGUGACUUAAUUCACCGUAACCAAAAUUCAUUUCGAUUUCGAUAUCCGAUACCAUAAAUCAUCAAUUACGAGCUAAUUAACAUAAAAUACAACCAAAUCCAUCAUUAACAUGUCACCUAAUAAAUUCGGCCACAGAGAGUUUGAUGAAGAACAUGUGUUUUCAUGCUUAUUUUUCACACAGAGUAUCACAAAAUAACUAAAAACGCGUAUGUAGCAUGAAAUCUAACAAAACCCGUGAUCAAAACCUCUCCCCCCUAGGUUUGGCCAGCAAUCUUUCCUUCAUGAAAUCUUGAGUUUCAACUAUGAAAAAUGAAAAAGAGAGCAUGGGAAAGGUAGAUCUUAAGCUAAAAUUGAAAAAUCUUACCUUUGAUUCUUUGGUUCCUUGAAAUUCAACAAAUUUCUCUUGGAUUUUCUUCUCUAGGGUUUGUUCUUAUUCUUUUCUCUUUGUUCUUUGCUUUGGC